GUAACGGCGAGUGAAGCGGCAACAGCUCAAAUUUGAAAUCUGGCCUCCUCGGGGUCCGAGUUGUAAUUUGUAGAGGGUGUUUCGGGCGCGAUGCCGGUCUAAGUUCCUUGGAACAGGACGUCGUAGAGGGUGAGAAUCCCGUAUGCGACCGGCGAUCAAGCCCGUGUGAAGCCCCUUCGACGAGUCGAGUUGUUUGGGAAUGCAGCUCAAAAUGGGUGGUAAAUUUCAUCUAAAGCUAAAUAUUGGCCGGAGACCGAUAGCGGACAAGUAGAGUGAUCGAAAGAUGAAAAGCACUUUGGAAAGAGAGUCAAACAGUACGUGAAAUUGUUGAAAGGGAAGCGCUUGCAAUCAGACCGGUCCGGAGGCGAUCAGCCGCUGCUCGUCAGCGGUGCACUCGCCUGCGAUCCGGCCAGCAUCGGUUUGGGCGGCGGGACAAAAGUCCCGGGAAUGUAGCUUCUCUCGGGGAGUCUUAUAGCCCGGGUCGCAAUGCCGCCCGCCCGGACCGAGGACCGCGCUUCGGCU
This 522-nucleotide ribosomal RNA is filed under the name Sticta variabilis. Its description in RNAcentral is "partial large subunit ribosomal RNA". It matches the Rfam family "Eukaryotic large subunit ribosomal RNA", at positions 83 to 607 of the family's 3401-position model. The record is from RNAcentral. Lineage: Eukaryota; Fungi; Ascomycota; Lecanoromycetes; Peltigerales; Lobariaceae.